This 255-nucleotide ribosomal RNA is filed under the name uncultured bacterium. RNAcentral describes it as "partial 16S ribosomal RNA". It matches the Rfam family "Bacterial small subunit ribosomal RNA", at positions 524 to 777 of the family's 1533-position model. The record is from RNAcentral.
UACGAAGGGGGCUAGCGUUGUUCGGAAUCACUGGGCGUAAAGCGCACGUAGGCGGGUCUUUAAGUCGGAGGUGAAAUCCUGGAGCUCAACUCCAGAACUGCCUUCGAUACUGAGGAUCUCGAGUCCGGGAGAGGUGAGUGGAACUGCGAGUGUAGAGGUGAAAUUCGUAGAUAUUCGCAAGAACACCAGUGGCGAAGGCGGCUCACUGGCCCGGUACUGACGCUGAGGUGCGAAAGCGUGGGGAGCCAAACAGGG